AGUGAACGCUGGCGGUAGGCUUAACACAUGCAAGUCGAACGGCAGCACAGUAAGAGCUUGCUCUUACGGGUGGCGAGUGGCGGACGGGUGAGGAAUACAUCGGAAUCUACUUUUUCGUGGGGGAUAACGUAGGGAAACUUACGCUAAUACCGCAUACGACCUACGGGGGAAAGCAGGGGAACUUCGGACCUUGCGGGAUUGAAUGAGCGGAUGUCGGAUUAGCUAGUUGGCGGGGUAAAGGCCCAGCAAGGCGACGAUCCGUAGCUGGUCUGAGAGGAUGGUCAGCCACACUGGAACUGAGACACGGUCCAGACUCCUACGGGAGGCAGCAGUGGGGAAUAUUAGACAAUGGGGGCAAGCCUGAUCCAACCAUACCGCGUGGGUGAAGAAGGCCUUCGGGUUGUAAAGCCCUUUUGUUGGGAAAGAAAAGCAGCAGGUUAAUACCCCGCUGUUCUGACGGUACCCAAAGAAUAAGCACCGGCUAACUUCGUG
This 492-nucleotide ribosomal RNA is filed under the name uncultured bacterium. RNAcentral's name for it is "partial 16S ribosomal RNA". It matches the Rfam family "Bacterial small subunit ribosomal RNA", at positions 29 to 507 of the family's 1533-position model. The record is from RNAcentral.